RNAcentral lists this long non-coding RNA (207 nucleotides) under Mytilus galloprovincialis (Mediterranean mussel). The record is from RNAcentral. Lineage: Eukaryota; Metazoa; Mollusca; Bivalvia; Mytilida; Mytilidae.
GUUGGGGCAAGUAUGGACACAACAUUUAAACUGGAUUCAGCUCUAAAUUUGGAUUGUGAUUAAAUAGUUGACACAGAAUGAAUGUGGUCUAAUGAAUUUAAAAUAUUUUUUUUGCCUUUGAGCAAUUCACUAUGCUGUUGAAUAUUAAUCCUCUCAAAAAAAUGUUUGAAGAAAUUUUCUUUUUAUUUAUGAAAUCUGAAAUGAGAA